This 202-nucleotide ribosomal RNA is filed under the name uncultured bacterium. RNAcentral describes it as "partial 16S ribosomal RNA". It matches the Rfam family "Bacterial small subunit ribosomal RNA", at positions 1299 to 1500 of the family's 1533-position model. The record is from RNAcentral.
UGCAGGCUGCAACUCGCCUGCAUGAAGCUGGAAUUGCUAGUAAUCGCGGAUCAGCAAGCCGCGGUGAAUACGUUCCCGGGCCUUGUACACACCGCCCGUCACACCAUGAGAGUCGGGAACACCCGAAGUCCGUAGUCUAACCGCAAGGGGGGCGCGGCCGAAGGUGGGUCCGGUAAUUGGGGUGAAGUCGUAACAAGGUAGC